UAGGGAAUCUUCGGCAAUGGACGAAAGUCUGACCGAGNAACGCCGCGUGAGUGAAGAAGGUUUUCGGAUCGUAAAACUCUGUUGGUAGAGAAGAACGUUGGUGAGAGUGGAAAGCUCAUCAAGUGACGGUAACUACCCAGAAAGGGACGGCUAACUACGUGCCAG
Molecule: ribosomal RNA, 165 nt
Filed under: uncultured bacterium
Lineage: Bacteria
Description: partial 16S rRNA
Rfam family: Bacterial small subunit ribosomal RNA
Source: RNAcentral